UACAAUCAAAACGAUGCGAUUCAUUCUACAUGCAUUACCAGCAUUACGACAUUUACGUAUGUAUAUGUAUUAUAACGUGUAAAUCGCAUGUGGAAUGAAUAACGUUGAUUGGAUUGUAAUUGUUGAAAAUGUAACUUCUUAUAAUUCUCGCACCGUACA
Bradysia coprophila is the source of this 159-nucleotide long non-coding RNA. The record is from RefSeq and is a predicted model, not a curated record. Lineage: Eukaryota; Metazoa; Arthropoda; Insecta; Diptera; Sciaridae.